Microplitis mediator is the source of this 954-nucleotide long non-coding RNA. RefSeq lists it as uncharacterized. NCBI's taxonomy places the organism in Eukaryota, Metazoa, Arthropoda, Insecta, Hymenoptera, Braconidae. The record is from RefSeq and is a predicted model, not a curated record. The transcript is spliced from 3 exons.
AUUCGAUGUGUACGCAUCGUUUUCGACGUGUUCAACUAUUUUUAAAAAUUCUGUUGACUUUUUUUUUUAAUUUUUUUUUACCCUUAAUGACGUCAUUAGUCAUUUUUGAAAAAAAUUUUUUUUUUCAACCAGCGUUUUCGCAAGUUGAAAAAAUCAAUUUUUUUUUUUAAAUUUUUUUGUCAACCCAAUUGAAUAUACAAGUCAACAGUAUUUUUAUUUAUUAAUUAGUGUUGAUUGUUUAGAUAGAUUAUCAAUGGAUUCCAACGAGGAAAAAUCAUUUUCUGAUGUCUUGACUGGAAGGAAGGAUGGAAGCAAAGAACACUGACCAGCCUCAAUGAACUGCUAGCUGUCAUCCUACCAGCUGAUCAACUGGCAUCGUUCGGCAGGGAAAUAAAGUUAUUUCUCUGUUGAGGUUUAGGUACAUAGUUUGGAUUUACUUUUUGGUAGAUCUUUUAUGACGUGUCUAAUCUAGAGUCCACUGGAAUCUAUACUGACAUGACUGGCCUAUGAGGACCAGAAUAAUUUUGAGGACAGUGAUGCUGCUGAGCAUUGACGACAAGGUGGUCCAGAUCCAAGGACACACCGCCGCUCUAAUUAUUUUUUUCUGUUUCAGAUCCAGUCAACAAGAAGGAUGCCCAACUUGAAGGAUGCCCAGGGAUGCCAAGGACCAAGAGGAGGACCAGGACCAGGACCAGGACUAGGAAUAAGAUAUAAUAUUUAUUAUUUAAUUUAAGCUCAAUUGUAAUUAAUUUUAAUUAAUUAUUUUAUUAAGGUAUGAGUGUGAUGGAUGAACUGCGAGCGAUUAAUAAUUUAAGAAUUUAAUUUAUAUUUUUAUUUUAUAAGUAUGAUUUUGAGUGGUAUGUUUUUAUAUUGAGUAGGUGUGGCAUGUAUGUAUUUAUUGCAUUUUCUGCAUGUUGCUUGCGUUUUUUUUGCUUGAUGUUUUUUUUUAUUGCA